GCCACAUGAUGACUCAUGUAGAUCCAGGAGCCUUCGGGCUGUGCUGACCUCCCAUCUACCACCCUUGUCUGAUGGCU
This is a small nucleolar RNA of Syngnathus acus (greater pipefish), 77 nucleotides long. RefSeq annotates it as small nucleolar RNA SNORD83. The record is from RefSeq and is a predicted model, not a curated record. Lineage: Eukaryota; Metazoa; Chordata; Actinopteri; Syngnathiformes; Syngnathidae. The transcript has a single exon.